GACGAACGCUGGCGGCGUGCUUAACACAUGCAAGUCGAACGGAAAGGCCCUGCUUGCAGGGUACUCGAGUGGCGAACGGGUGAGUAACACGUGGGUGAUCUGCCCUGCACUUCGGGAUAAGCCUGGGAAACUGGGUCUAAUACCGGAUAGGAGCCAUUUUUAGUGUGAUGGUUGGAAAGUUUUUUGGGUGUAGGAUGAGCUCGCGGCCUAUUAGCUUGUUGGUGGGGUAAUGGCCUACCAAGGCGGCGACGGGUAGCCGGCCUGGGAGGGUGGACGGCCACAUUGGGACUGAGAUACGGCCCAGACUCCUACGGGAGGCAGCAGUGGGGAAUAUUGCACAAUGGGCGCAAGCCUGAUGCAGCGACGCCGCGUGGGGGAUGACGGCCUUCGGGUUGUAAACUCCUUUCGCUAGGGACGAAGCUUUUUGUGACGGUACCUAGAUAAGAAGCACCGGCUAACUACGUG
Molecule: ribosomal RNA, 465 nt
Filed under: uncultured bacterium
Lineage: Bacteria
Description: partial 16S ribosomal RNA
Rfam family: Bacterial small subunit ribosomal RNA
Source: RNAcentral